UACAGAGGGGGGCAAGCGUUAUUCGGAAUUAUUGGGCGUAAAGGGCGCGUAGGCGGCUUGGCAAGUGGAUGGUGAAAUCCCUCGGCUUAACCGAGGAACUGCCGUCCAAACUGCUUCGCUUGAGACCGGGAGAGGUGAGUGGAAUUCCCAGUGUAGCGGUGAAAUGCGUAGAUAUUGGGAGGAACACCAGUGGCGAAGGCGGCUCACUGGACCGGUACUGACGCUGAUGCGCGAAAGCGUGGGGAGCAGA
This 250-nucleotide ribosomal RNA is filed under the name uncultured bacterium. RNAcentral's name for it is "partial 16S ribosomal RNA". It matches the Rfam family "Bacterial small subunit ribosomal RNA", at positions 524 to 772 of the family's 1533-position model. The record is from RNAcentral.